AGAUCGGGAAUAGGAGUAUAUCGAACUCCUAGUACUGCAUCAGGAUAGUCGGUAAAUAGCUCAUUUCAUUGAGGACUACAAUUGGAUUGGCAUCCUCAAAAUAUGUAGGUU
Molecule: non-coding RNA, 111 nt
Organism: Theobroma cacao (cacao)
Lineage: Eukaryota; Viridiplantae; Streptophyta; Magnoliopsida; Malvales; Malvaceae
Source: RefSeq, a predicted model, not a curated record